AUCAUCAGCUAAAGGGCAAACCUUUUAAUAGCUUUUUUAGGCUAUCAUGCAGAACUAAAACUGCAUAAGUGAUGAUGUGUACAUAGAAGCAUUAGGCGCUAUAUAAUGUAGUAAUUUAGUUUUUUUGACUUCUUUACUUGCAUACACAAAGAGUAAAUAAAUUUAGACAAACGUCAGUAAGGAUAGCGCACUUAUUGGCGUUU
RNAcentral lists this non-coding RNA (203 nucleotides) under unclassified sequences. RNAcentral describes it as "FuFi-1 RNA". The stretch from base 24 to 203 matches the Rfam family "FuFi-1 RNA". The record is from Rfam by way of RNAcentral.